This 735-nucleotide ribosomal RNA is filed under the name uncultured Leptotrichia sp. Its description in RNAcentral is "bacterial SSU rRNA". It matches the Rfam family "Bacterial small subunit ribosomal RNA", at positions 28 to 776 of the family's 1533-position model. Lineage: Bacteria; Fusobacteriati; Fusobacteriota; Fusobacteriia; Fusobacteriales; Leptotrichiaceae. The record is from RNAcentral.
GAUGAACGCUGACAGAAUGCUUAACACAUGCAAGUCGAUGGGGAAGGGUAAGCUUGCUUACUUGGUAACCAUGGCGGACGGGUGAGUAACGCGUAAGGAACUUACCUGCGGGACUGGGAUAACGGAGGGAAACUUCUGACAAGACCGGAUAAAGUUACUGGGCAGCAUUGUUUGGUAAUGAAAGGAGACGCCUGCGGAGAGUCUUGCGUCCUAUUAGCUAGUUGGUUGGGUAACGGCUGACCAAGGCGAAGAUAGGUAGCCGGCCUGAGAGGGUGGACGGCCACAAGGGGACUGAGAUACGGCCCUUACUCCUACGGGAGGCAGCAGUGGGGAAUAUUGGACAAUGGGGGCAACCCUGAUCCAGCAAUUCUGUGUGCACGAAGAAGGUUUUCGGAUUGUAAAGUGCUUUCAGCAGGGAAGAAGAGAGUGACGGUACCUGCAGAAGAAGCGACGGCUAAAUACGUGCCAGCAGCCGCGGUAAUACGUAUGUCGCGAGCGUUAUCCGGAAUUAUUGGGCAUAAAGGGCAUCUAGGCGGCCUAACAAGUCAGGGGUGAAAACCUGCGGCUCAACCGCAGGCCUGCCUUUGAAACUGUGAGGCUGGAGUACCGGAGAGGUGGACGGAACUGCACGAGUAGAGGUGAAAUUCGUAGAUAUGUGCAGGAAUGCCGAUGAUGAAGAUAGUCCACUGGACGGAGACUGACGCUGAAGUGCGAAAGCCGGGGGGAGCGAACAGG